GACGAACGCUGGCGGCGUGCUUAACACAUGCAAGUCGAACGGAAAGGCCCUGCUUUUGUGGGGUUCUCGAGUGGCGAACGGGUGAGUAACACGUGAGUAACCUGCCCUUGACUUUGGGAUAACUUCAGGAAACUGGGGCUAAUAUCGGAUAGGAGCUCCUGCUCCAUGGUGGGCGUUGGAAAGUUUCGGCGGUAGGGGAUGGACUCGGGGCUUAACAGCUUGUUGGUCGGGUAGUGGCUGACCAAGGGUUUGGCGGGUAGGCCGCCUGAGAGGGUGGACGGGCACCAUGCUACUGCGGGACGGCGCAGACGGGUACGGGAGGCAGCAGGGGGGAGUAUUACACAGCGGGCGCGAGUCUGAUGCGGAGGCGCCGCGUGCGGAAAGACGGCUUUCGGGUUGUAAACCGCUUUCGCCUGUGACGAAGCGGGAGUGACGGUAACGGGUAAAGAAGCACCGGCUAACUACGUG
This 468-nucleotide ribosomal RNA is filed under the name uncultured bacterium. Its description in RNAcentral is "partial 16S ribosomal RNA". It matches the Rfam family "Bacterial small subunit ribosomal RNA", at positions 28 to 507 of the family's 1533-position model. The record is from RNAcentral.